AUUGAACGCUGGCGGCAGGCUUAACACAUGCAAGUCGAGCGGGGGAAGGUAGAUUGCUACUGGACCUAGCGGCGGACGGGUGAGUAAUGCUUAGGAAUCUGCCUAUUAGUGGGGGACAACAUCUCGAAAGGGAUGCUAAUACCGCAUACGUCCUACGGGAGAAAGCAGGGGAUCUUCGGACCUUGCGCUAAUAGACGAGCCUAAGUCGGAUUAGCUAGUUGGGGGGGUAAAGGCCUACCAAGGCGACGAUCUGUAGCGGGUCUGAGAGGAUGAUCCGCCACACUGGGACUGAGACACGGCCCAGACUCCUACGGGAGGCAGCAGUGGGGAAUAUUGGACAAUGGGGGGAACCCUGAUCCAGCCAUGCCGCGUGUGUGAAGAAGGCCUUAUGGUUGUAAAGCACUUUAAGCGAGGAGGAGGCUACUCUAGUUAAUACCUAGGGAUAGUGGACGUUACUCGCAGAAUAAGCACCGGCUAACUCUGUGCCAGCCGCCGCAGUAA
This 501-nucleotide ribosomal RNA is filed under the name uncultured bacterium. Its description in RNAcentral is "partial 16S ribosomal RNA". It matches the Rfam family "Bacterial small subunit ribosomal RNA", at positions 30 to 523 of the family's 1533-position model. The record is from RNAcentral.